RNAcentral lists this ribosomal RNA (253 nucleotides) under uncultured bacterium. Its description in RNAcentral is "partial 16S ribosomal RNA". It matches the Rfam family "Bacterial small subunit ribosomal RNA", at positions 524 to 776 of the family's 1533-position model. The record is from RNAcentral.
UACGUAGGGUGCAAGCGUUAAUCGGAAUUACUGGGCGUAAAGCGUGCGCAGGCGGUUUUGUAAGUUUGUCGUGAAAGCCCCGGGCUCAACCUGGGAAUUGCGAUGAAGACUGCAAGGCUUGAAUCUGGCAGAGGGGGGUAGAAUUCCACGUGUAGCAGUGAAAUGCGUAGAGAUGUGGAGGAAUACCGAUGGCGAAGGCAGCCCCCUGGGAUAACACUGACGCUCAUGCACGAAAGCGUGGGGAGCAAACAGG